Choloepus hoffmanni (Hoffmann's two-fingered sloth) is the source of this 162-nucleotide small nuclear RNA. Its record names the gene U1. It matches the Rfam family "U1 spliceosomal RNA". From Rfam's summary of the family: U1 is a small nuclear RNA (snRNA) component of the spliceosome (involved in pre-mRNA splicing). NCBI's taxonomy places the organism in Eukaryota, Metazoa, Chordata, Mammalia, Pilosa, Megalonychidae. The record is from Ensembl.
AUACUUACUUUGGGGUGGAGAUGCCAUGAUCAUGUAGGUGAUUUUCCCAGGACGAGGCUCAACUCUCACACUCUGAUUGUGCUCACUCCUGUGAUUUUCCCAAUGUGGGAAACUUAACUGCAUAAUUUGUGGUAGUGGGGGACUGUGAUUCACCCUCCCCUG